Molecule: long non-coding RNA, 2053 nt
Filed under: Canis lupus familiaris (dog)
Lineage: Eukaryota; Metazoa; Chordata; Mammalia; Carnivora; Canidae
Description: lncRNA (ENSCAFG00030009276.1)
Source: RNAcentral
AUGGAUGGAAAUACUGCAGCUUUCUGGACUGCAUACCCUGCUCCCUGGAGAGGUUCCACCCACCGGCUGGAAGGAGAGGAAGUGAAUGAAAGGACAGGAGGAGCCCGAACACCAUGUCACUCUGGAAGGGAGACAGCAGCAACCAGGCUGUGCAAGGUUGUUUUGUUUUGUUUUCUUUUCCCCUUUCUCUUCUUUUUUUUUUUCUUUUUCAUUUUUUUGUUUUCUUUCUUUCUUUCUUCUUUCUUUUUUUCCCUUUUUCUUUAAGGUGGGGAAAGAGACAAACAGGAGACAGGAAGCUGAUCUGCAAGGAUUCAGAGUUGUGCUAAAAAGACUUUGAUUUUUUUCUUCUCUCCCUCUUUACAAACGCUGGCAAUUGACAUCACUACAGACAGCCUGGGUAGAGAACAAAGUGCCUCAUCCCAAGUGGACCCUGGCAGCUGGGGGAAGGAAGGCAGGAUCUGGGAAGGCUGUGUGUGUGUGUGUGUGUGUGUGCCGUGUGUGUGCUGUGUUGUUCUACCAAUACCUUUCCUUUUUUCUUUCUUCUUUCUUUCUUCUUUCUUUCUUUCUUCUUUCUUUCUUUCUUCUUUUUUUUUUUUUUUUUUUUUUUGGUGUGUUUCUUUUUUAAAUUCCUGCCGUGUUGGAACUAGUGAGUGGUGGAAGACGAAGGAUCUCUGAAGCCUCAUCAGUCAUCGGGACCAUCAGGAAUAGUGGUUUAAGAGGACGCUCGGCCUGGGGCACUAUACCUGUCAUCGAGUUCCCUGCCUCGGAGAUAAAGAUUCCAGCUACAUGGGUAAACGCCUGGAUCAGCCACAAAUGUACCCCCAGUACACUUACUACUAUCCUCACUGUCUCUAAACCAAGGUAUGGCUCGACCCACAGUCUGGCAAGCAGUGUGUAUCCUGCACUUGGGAUGGGAAACAGGCAUGUGGAUUAUUAUUUACCUCCCCUUUCCCAUCACCUCUUCCUGCUUCUUUGAAAUUAGUAACAUAGCAAUGGAGUUAAUAAGGCAGAGGAGAAUAUGAGAAGAAAGCAAGCCCUGGGAUUGUGGUUUUUCUCUUCUAGCAGAGAUAAUAGUUUCGCUCGUGUUCCUUUGUUGUUAUUUGGCAACAUAAAGAUGUUCCUGAUAUCCGUAGUAAAGUGCUUUGCAGAUGGACAGGGUUGUUAGAAAGGAGAUUGUGACAGUGAUUAUCAGGAACAACAACGAUUUCAGAGGCUUUUCUGGUGAGCUGUUCUUUGUGGCUCUGAAAGGGUUUUUCUCACUGGAUAGGAUGCACCAGGGUGGGGGCAACUCAGACUUUCAAUCACAGAGUAUAGAAUGAAAGAAGGGUGUGGGAAGGUAUAGUACGACUAACUGACGUCCCGUAGAGUUUGUUUGGGUGUGCUUUUGUUUUUGUGUAUUUGCCUUACAUAUUUUAUUUUAUAUGGAGGGUGAUCAAGACUCUAGAGACUGAAGUUUGGAGCUUUACAAUAGAUGUUCUUUACUUUUCGAAGCUCUGUUUUUCUGUGCUGGCUGCCAUCAGGAGGCCUGUGGGUCUUGAAACGGGAUGAAAUAUAACUGAUGAUAAUUGGACACGAAUUGGUUAAAUACUUUAGUCUUGGGAUCCCUGGGUGGCGCAGUGGUUUGGCGCCUGCCUUUGGCCCAGGGCGUGAUCCUGGAGACCUGGGAUCGAAUCCCACGUGGGCUCCCGGUGCAUGGAGCCUGCUUCUCCCUCUGCCUAUGUCUCUGCCUCUCUCUGUGUGUGACUAUCAUAAAUAAAUAAAAAAAAUUAAAAAAAUUUUUUAAUACUUUAGUCUUUAUGUGUGUGCGUAAAUGACCAUUACGGGGCCAGUGGAAAGCCCACGUAACUAAGCAGUGGGCAGUGCCAACCAUGAACUUGAUCCUGCAGUUCAGACCUGAAAGGCUCUCAGGUGUGAAAUCACUGCUCCAAUUUGUCAGUUAAAUUGGACUUGAUGAGUUGGGGGGGAGGGUGUCGGUAGAGUUAUCGCUUUGAAUGUAUGGGUUAUGUUUCUUUACAGGUGAUAUUAAUUUUGUAUCGCAUUAGCCAGACUCCAC